CAGCACCCCAAGUGGUCAGGAUGAUUAUUGGGCCUAAAGCAUCCGUAGCCGGCUCUGUAAGUUUUCGGUUAAAUCUGUACGCUCAACGUACAGGCUGCCGGGAAUACUGCAGCGCUAGGGAGUGGGAGAGGUAGACGGUACUCGGUAGGAAGGGGUAAAAUCCUUUGAUCUAUUGAUGACCACCUGUGGCGAAGGCGGUCUACCAGAACACGUCCGACGGUGAGGGAUGAAAGCUGGGGGAGCAAACCGGAUUAGAUACCCGCGUAGUCC
This 270-nucleotide ribosomal RNA is filed under the name uncultured archaeon. RNAcentral describes it as "partial 16S ribosomal RNA". It matches the Rfam family "Archaeal small subunit ribosomal RNA", at positions 477 to 747 of the family's 1478-position model. The record is from RNAcentral.